UACGUAGGGUGCGAGCGUUAAUCGGAAUUACUGGGCGUAAAGCGUGCGUAGGCGGUUCGUUAAGUUCGUUGUGAAGGCCCCGGGCUCAACCUGGGAACUGCAAUGGAAACUGGCGGGCUUGAGUAUGGCAGAGGGGGGUGGAAUUCCGCGUGUAGCAGUGAAAUGCGUAGAGAUGCGGAGGAACACCGAUGGCGAAGGCAGCCCCCUGGGCCAAUACUGACGCUCAGGCACGAAAGCGUGGGGAGCAAACAGG
Molecule: ribosomal RNA, 253 nt
Filed under: uncultured bacterium
Lineage: Bacteria
Description: partial 16S ribosomal RNA
Rfam family: Bacterial small subunit ribosomal RNA
Source: RNAcentral